This 497-nucleotide ribosomal RNA is filed under the name uncultured bacterium. RNAcentral's name for it is "partial 16S ribosomal RNA". It matches the Rfam family "Bacterial small subunit ribosomal RNA", at positions 28 to 507 of the family's 1533-position model. The record is from RNAcentral.
GAUGAACGCUGGCGGCGUGCCUAAUACAUGCAAGUCGAGCGAACAGACGAGGAGCUUGCUCCUCUGACGUUAGCGGCGGACGGGUGAGUAACACGUGGAUAACCUACCUAUAAGACUGGGAUAACUUCGGGAAACCGGAGCUAAUACCGGAUAACAUGUUGAACCGCAUGGUUCAACAGUGAAAGACGGUUUUGCUGUCACUUAUAGAUGGAUCCGCGUCGCAUUAGCUAGUUGGUAAGGUAACGGCUUACCAAGGCAACGAUGCGUAGCCGACCUGAGAGGGUGAUCGGCCACACUGGAACUGAGACACGGUCCAGACUCCUACGGGAGGCAGCAGUAGGGAAUCUUCCGCAAUGGGCGAAAGCCUGACGGAGCAACGCCGCGUGAGUGAAGAAGGUCUUCGGAUCGUAAAACUCUGUUAUUAGGGAAGAACAAAUGUGUAAGUAGCUAUGCACGUCUUGACGGUACCUAAUCAGAAAGCCACGGCUAACUACGUG